UACAGAGGUCUCAAGCGUUGUUCGGAUUCAUUGGGCGUAAAGGGCUCGUAGGCGGCCAACUAAGUCAGACGUGAAAUCCCUCGGCUUAACCGGGGAACUGCGUCUGAUACUGGAUGGCUUGAAUCCGGGAGAGGGAUGCGGAAUUCCAGGUGUAGCGGUGAAAUGCGUAGAUAUCUGGAGGAACACCGGUGGCGAAGGCGGCAUCCUGGACCGGCAUUGACGCUGAGGCACGAAAGCGUGGGGAGCAAACAGG
This 253-nucleotide ribosomal RNA is filed under the name uncultured bacterium. Its description in RNAcentral is "partial 16S ribosomal RNA". It matches the Rfam family "Bacterial small subunit ribosomal RNA", at positions 524 to 776 of the family's 1533-position model. The record is from RNAcentral.